RNAcentral lists this ribosomal RNA (255 nucleotides) under uncultured bacterium. RNAcentral's name for it is "partial 16S ribosomal RNA". It matches the Rfam family "Bacterial small subunit ribosomal RNA", at positions 524 to 776 of the family's 1533-position model. The record is from RNAcentral.
UACGGAGGAUCCGAGCGUUAUCCGGAGUGACUGGGCGUAAAGAGUUGCGUAGGUGGUCGUAUAAGCGAAUAGUGAAAUCUGGUGGCUCAACCACUUAGACUAUUAUUCGAACUGUACGACUUGAGAGUGGUAGAGGUAACUGGAAUUUCUAGUGUAGGAGUGAAAUCCGUAGAUAUUAGAAGGAACACCAAUGGCGUAGGCAGGUUACUGGACCAUUUCUGACACUAAGGCACGAAAGCGUGGGGAGCGAACCGG